Tachysurus vachellii is the source of this 683-nucleotide long non-coding RNA. RefSeq lists it as uncharacterized. The transcript has 3 exons. Lineage: Eukaryota; Metazoa; Chordata; Actinopteri; Siluriformes; Bagridae. The record is from RefSeq and is a predicted model, not a curated record.
GGUAUGUCAUUCUUGCAUACGACUGGCUCAUCUAAGUGGAAAGCUCAUUACAUAAAUGGCCCCCAAAUCCCAUUUCUUGCAGCGACAUUGACUGACAAGUGUGAAGAUGAUUGAUGGGUCUGCUGAUAGCCUGUGCCAGUCAAUAAGUUUGCACUCUCUCUGCACCUGGACGCUUUCGCAGUGCAGUCUGCAGGCACUCACGCUGUACGUGUCGUAUCCAGGGAUCACUGGCUCUGUCGACGCACGGCAGUUUCCCCAUGGCUGAGGCAGAAGAAUAUUUUAUAACGUUCUGGACUGUACCAUACCCUCUGUUCCUGGCAGGACACGAAGGUUUGGAAUCCUGGUGAGACUCCAAAUCCCAGCUCGUGGAUAUAGGGAGGCUCGUCCUGACUAUGAAUCUGAACACGAAUCCCAGCCUCAAGAGUGGUCUCAUCUGUGGAGACAGCAACAGCAAGCCACAUUACCUCAGCAUGUUUGUAUGUUAAAGUACUGACUGUUCUAUAUCCAACUAUUCACCACAUUUCCACUGAAUACAUAAUGAAUAGUAUUCAGGUAAAGGCGUUGCAUUCUCAUUUUCUUUUCUCCCCUGCUGAUUAUCAUGCAUGCUGUAAAUCAUUAGAGGCUUCUUAAGAUUUUAUGUGCACUCAAACUGAAACAUUGAAAAUCAUUGAAAAAAAAGUCAC